Transfer RNA from Pisolithus microcarpus 441, 81 nucleotides. It matches the Rfam family "tRNA". Rfam says of the family: Transfer RNA (tRNA) molecules are approximately 80 nucleotides in length. Their secondary structure includes four short double-helical elements and three loops (D, anti-codon, and T loops). Lineage: Eukaryota; Fungi; Basidiomycota; Agaricomycetes; Boletales; Pisolithaceae. The record is from Rfam.
GGCCUUGUAGUCUAGAGGUACGAUACUUGCUUUGGGUGCUCUCAAUUGCAAGUGGCCUGGGUUCGAUUCCCAGCAAGGCCC